This is a non-coding RNA of Meleagris gallopavo (turkey), 3400 nucleotides long. NCBI's taxonomy places the organism in Eukaryota, Metazoa, Chordata, Aves, Galliformes, Phasianidae. The record is from RefSeq and is a predicted model, not a curated record.
AUCGGGAUGGGGGAGCAGGUGGGUAGGAGGGCGGGGGGAUCCGUCUGAUGCGCAGCUCGCAACUUUAUGAGGAAGAAAUAAAUGCGUAAAAGUGCCUCAGGAAGCACGGAGAUGCGCAGCAUCCGCCUGUUGGAGGGGUCCCGCGUUUUACAAGUACCUCCCGGCACAGGCGGUUUAUUUUACGCGAGACACUAAAAUGGCUCUCCUUCAGCUUGAGCAGAAGGCUUCUGAAGUACGGCAUAAAACCAUAAUGGCACGUAGAAAACCUUUGCUCCACAACUCGCGGUGCGGGGCCCGCCGAUUCUGCUGGGCAGCGCUCCUUGGUGUCCGUGCUUCGGAGCGAUAACGCCGCUGUCGGGCUCGCAGAGCUGCUCGCGCUGCUGGUGGCGGCCUGCCGAGCCUUCGGGCUGUGUCAUCCGCCCGGUGCCGUGCCAGCCCUGCUCGGGUAGGUUGUACUUUCUAGGAUAAGUGAUAUGUUUAAUAUGUUACCAAUUUCUGGGUUUAUAAACCGUACUUCAAAGGAUGUGUGCUUUCGUUAACCCAAGAACUUCUUCCGAACCUGGAUUCUUAACUUUUCUUUCUGCAAAGUCUUAGCUAUAAAUUAGGCAAAUUAAGGAGUACUUAAAAGUGCAACUGUGUUUUCUGUUUUGAAAUGAAUACCGAUUCUGUUUCCUUGUGCCACAGAGACCAUCUUAGAAAGAUUGCAUUAUUAAAUUACGCACAAUGGUUAUAAAAUACAUCUGGCAUCAUCCUAAUCCUUUAGACAUGACCUUUGCUUAGGAGGAAAAACUACCGAUUAUUGCCUGGAUCUUAUCUUUCCAUCAGAAGGAAUUUACAUAAUGACCAAAGAUCAGCAUAUAUUUCCCUGGACUUGAAACAGCAAACAUUCUGCCAUUUCAUGCUAACUACUGAGGAACUUAUUACAGGAGGAGACGAAAGUUUUACAGGAUGUCCUUGAAGGCUUGGGAGCAGCCGUAAAUGAAGAGCCUCCCGUAGACACUCAGUGCUUUGUGGGAAUGUUCAACUGAGAACCUUCUAGCUUUUUGGGCAAGUGCUUUGAGGGUAAAAUAAUGACGGACAGAGAAAUAUUAUGAGAAAAUAACAAAUGUGUUGCAACUAAUAUUUAGUCAUUUUUUUUCUGUUAGCAAUUUCCAAUAGACAGCAGACACGCAUAAUCACUACAUUACAACUGAAAGAUAGGGGGAAAAAAAAAAAAAGAACCACAAAGCAGCAACUCAUGAAUCCAAGAGAAACAAUUGAGUGGACUAAACUUCAGAGGAACUGGUUUAAGCAUCUUCUUCCAGUUGGAAUUCUCCAGCACUGCAAGACAGAGCGUCACUCCAGCCUGGUGUCACUGUCAGCAGAGAGAUGCAGGACGGUGCUACUGCCAAAAGUUCUGCACUCUUUCUCUGUCCCAGCCGUGUGCUCCUGCCAGCCCGUUUGUGUUCCAGGGGUUGGCAGCCUCGUUGCUACAUUAUUGCUCAUACAGACACAACAGAGCUGCGCUGUUUUAGGCCAGCUUAAGUAGAUUGUGAAACUGCAUUUUACAAAUGCCAGCUGUUUAGAGGAGUAAUUUUAAGCCCAUUCAUAACUAUCUCAGACACUGCGUAUGAAGUAAAUGAAACUGUUUAUACUUACUUUAGCGAUGUUUUUUAUCAAACUGUCUUUAGUGGAAGUGGUUUAAAUAUGUGAAGAAUGACACUGUAUACAACAGUGAGAUCUCAGGAUGAUUCCCAACGGCAGAUCAGCACAAUGCAGUGCAAAAUUUUAAGGACAUCACAUUCACUGGAACAACAUCUGUGCAGAGCUAAACUGGUGCACAUUUUUCAGCAUGGAAACUUGUCAUCAACUGUAGAAAUUAUUGCCAACAAUGUUGUAUUUAUGGAAUCAUUGGAGUAUUCAAGGCUUGCUGAUUGUAUUUUGGCUGUUUUGUAAUCCUUAAAUGAUGACUUAUUUAAAUAGAGUAGGUUGGCAAAUUAACGAUAACAGAACCAAAAGACUAAAAGAGGAAGGACUUGUCUUUUCCUUGCCCCAGUGUCUGGACAUUUCAGAAAGUCUUAAAAUUAAAUAAAUUCUUGCCACCCCCUCAAACAAACAAAAUAAAAUAAAAUAAAAGCACACUUUGCUCGGCAUUAAACUUUGAAGCAACGUGAUAUAUUUACCAGACAUGUGAAUGAUCAAAUAUGUUUCUCUAGUGCAGAGAUCUUAACAACAGAAUUUAGUGAGACAAAUAAGUUUUAUAUAAUAUUGCUAUGAUGUUUUACACAUGGGUUACAAAUAGAGGUCACGCAUGCACGCAUGCAGAAUCAAUGCAUGGGGAUCUACCUAUCCUUUGGUUUUGAUAUAACAAAUCCAAGAUUUUUUAUUUUAGCAGAGGUAUAUCAGCUGUAACUUUGCAAUCCUCAUAUUGUCAGUCACUGCUGAAAAUUCAGUGAUGCACAUAGCUUUUUUUUCUUUCUCCUGUCUUUGUAAGCCUUCGAUCUGGGCCUAAAUAACAGUACCCCUUCACUGAUCACCUUCCACUAGCAGAAUGUAGUAUGCUUAUUUGUUAGCACCAAAAAAUUAGCUUAAAGAGAUUUUUAAAUAUAUGGCCCAUCCCAUGAGGAAUAUAUUUGAAAAAUGUUUGUGCUGGACAAGCAGAACCUACAGGGUAGCAAUUAAAUCAUAAGACUGAAAAUAAAAACUAUAAUGAUCUACACAUUUGUCUCCAAAUUAUAUGAUUAAGGAGAUACUAAAUUAGUCAUUAUAGUGAAAGAAUGCAACUACAAAUCUUAACUAAGCAUAUUUGUUGUAGUUCUAUUCAUUAUACUAAUGUACAAGCUUAUAUUUAGCAGUUUUAGAAGCAUUAAAAAAACUGCAAAGCUUCAGAUUACAGCCCAUAUGGGUAUGCUGAGGUUGGCAGUAGUGAUUAAUAGUAUCUUCUGGUUUUGCUUUUUAUAAACCGAACAAUAUUUAAGACAGCCAUGUGGAUGAUUUAGAUGACAAAGAAUUCAAACACUGCACUUACUUGAACAAAAAUUACUGCAUUAAAAAGAGUGUGGGCCAGAGCAGCAUGUAUUAGUUCACUCUUUAUCGCAGUGGAAUGGGUAAACUUUCAGGUUAAAGUGGAACAUCACAGUUUGCAGCACAGUGGUUUGAAUUUACAUAAUACUUAACCCAUUCUACCUAAAUAUUCCUAAAUGAUUAGCUGUCAGUGAAGGCCACAUUCAUCCAACUUAGUGGUGUAUCUUACUUUUCACAGUCUUAUUAGAUUUAAUACAACUACUAGGAAGUACUACUAAAUAGAGAGAUGUGGCUCUACAAGUGCUUUAAACUAACAGUAAUGAGGGCUACUUGGAAAGGAAUAAUCUACUGCCUUUUUCAUGUGCAGUUGUUUAUACCCAUCUCCUCUUUUUUUUUU